UGAUCCUUGCUCWGGAUGAACGCUGGCGGUAUGCUUAACACAUGCAAGUCGAMCGGAUKVCUCCGGYACUUAGUGGCGGACGGGUGAGUAACGCGUGAGAAUCUAGCUUUGGGUUCGGGACAACCACGGGAAACGGUGGCUAAUACCGGAUGUGCCGAGAGGUAAAAGAUUAAUUGCCCGAAGAAGAGCUCGCGUCUGAUUAGCUAGUUGGUGUGGUAAGAGCGCACCAAGGCGACGAUCAGUAGCUGGUCUGAGAGGAUGACCAGCCACACUGGGACUGAGACACGGCCCAGACUCCUACGGGAGGCAGCAGUGGGGAAUUUUCCGCAAUGGGCGAAAGCCUGACGGAGCAAUACCGCGUGAGGGAGGAAGGCUCUUGGGUUGUAAACCUCUUUUCUUAGGGAAGAAGAACUGACGGUACCUAAGGAAUAAGCAUCGGCUAACUCCGUGCCAGCAGCCGCGGUAAUACGGAGGAUGCAAGCGUUAUCCGGAAUGAUUGGGCGUAAAGCGUCCGCAGGUGGCAAUGAAAGUCUGCUGUCAAAGAGUCUGGCUUAACCAGAUAAAGGCAGUGGAAACUACAUAGCUAGAGUGAGGUAGGGGCAGAGGGAAUUCCUGGUGUAGCGGUGAAAUGCGUAGAGAUCAGGAAGAACACCGGUGGCGAAGGCGCUCUGCUGGACCGCAACUGACACUGAGGGACGAAAGCUAGGGGAGCGAAUGGGAUUAGAUACCCCAGUAGUCCUAGCUGUAAACGAUGGAUACUAGGCGUUGCCCGUAUCGACCCGGGCAGUGUCGUAGCUAACGCGUUAAGUAUCCCGCCUGGGGAGUACGCACGCAAGUGUGAAACUCAAAGGAAUUGACGGGGGCCCGCACAAGCGGUGGAGUAUGUGGUUUAAUUCGAUGCAACGCGAAGAACCUUACCAGGACUUGACAUGUCCGGAACCCUCUUGAAAGGGAGGGGUGCCUUCGGGAACCGGAACACAGGUGGUGCAUGGCUGUCGUCAGCUCGUGUCGUGAGAUGUUGGGUUAAGUCCCGCAACGAGCGCAACCCUCGUACUUAGUUGCCAUCAUUAAGUUGGGAACUCUAAGGAGACUGCCGGUGACAAACCGGAGGAAGGUGGGGAUGACGUCAAGUCAGCAUGCCCCUUACGUCCUGGGCUACACACGUACUACAAUGCUGUGGACAAAGGGCAGCAAGCGUGCGAACGCAAGCAAAUCCCAGAAACCACGGCUCAGUUCAGAUCGCAGGCUGCAACUCGCCUGCGUGAAGUCGGAAUCGCUAGUAAUUGCAGGUCAGCAUACUGCAGUGAAUUCGUUCCCGGGCCUUGUACACACCGCCCGUCACACCAUGGAAGCUGGUCACGCCCGAAGUCGUUACCCUAACCUUUCGAGGAGGGGGAUGCCGAAGGUAGGACUGGUGACUGGGGUGAAGUCGUAACAAGGUAGCCGUACCGGAAGGUGUGGCUGGAUCACCUCCUUUAUAGGGAGACCCAAAUUCAAUUCAAAAUUAUCAAUUCAAAAUUCAAAAUGAAGAAUAAAAGUUUUGGAUUUUGAAAUUUGAACUUUGAACUUUGAAUUGAUUUUAUCCCGAGGUCGGUGGCGAAUGCAAAAGUGAGGCUUUCAAACUAGAAAGGUUCGGUUCAUGGGCUAUUAGCUCAGGUGGUUAGAGCGCACCCCUGAUAAGGGUGAGGUCCCUGGUUCGAGUCCAGGAUGGCCCACCUGAAAGGAAUUCAAAGUUGAAAAUUCAGAAUUCAAAAAUAAAGAUAAAAAUGGUUUCUUAAUUUUGAACUUUGAAUUGAUAAUUUUGAAUUGUUGAUUGGGGGGUAUAGCUCAGUUGGUAGAGCGCCUGCUUUGCAAGCAGGAUGUCAGGAGUUCGAGUCUCCUUACCUCCACCUGAAAAAAGAGGAAAAUGCAGCACCGAGAAGUAACACAGCGGCUGCUGGAUAAAUUCCAGUCAAGAACCUUGAAAAUUGCAUAGAGAAGCGAAUAGAGUUAACAACUAACAGUUAAAAGUUGCCAUUUGAUGAGUACAGCAACAGCGGUGACAUCAAAAAAGACAAUUAACGCUAAGUAAGUGGACUCAAGCAGACAAAAAAGUGGUCAAGCGAAGAAGGGCUAAUGGUGGAUACCUAGGCACACAGAGGCGAAGAAGGACGUGGUGACCGACGAAAAGCUCCGGGGAGCUGGAAGCAAGCGUGAGAUCCGGAGGUGUCCGAAUGGGGCAACCCUUAAGACUGCCUACUGAAUAUAUAGGUAGGUCAGAGCCAACCCAGCGAAUUGAAACAUCUUAGUAGCUGGAGGAAGAGAAAUCAACAGAGAUUCCCCAAGUAGUGGUGAGCGAAAGGGGAAGAGCCUAAACCACAGAGCAUGCUUUGUGGGGUUGUGGGACAGCGAUAUYGAAUCUGGCGGUUAGACGAAGCAGCGAAAAACUGCACCACAGAAGGUGAGAGUCCUGUAGUCGAAAACUUAAAGAUAGUAGCUGUAUCCCGAGUAGCAUGGGACACGGGAAAUCCCAUGUGAAUCAGCGAGGACCACCUCGUAAGGCUAAAUACUACUGUGUGACCGAUAGUGAACCAGUACCGCGAGGGAAAGGUGAAAAGAACCCCAACAAGGGGAGUGAAAUAGAACAUGAAACCAUUAGCCUACAAGCAGUGUACGACGAUGCAUCUCUUCAU
RNAcentral lists this ribosomal RNA (2672 nucleotides) under Symphyonema bifilamentata 97.28. RNAcentral's name for it is "partial contains 16S ribosomal RNA, 16S-23S ribosomal RNA intergenic spacer, and 23S ribosomal RNA". The record is from RNAcentral. Lineage: Bacteria; Bacillati; Cyanobacteriota; Cyanophyceae; Nostocales; Symphyonemataceae.